ACCCAGAUGCUAGCCUUUCCUCUGAUAUUCACUUUCUCGUUUAUUCCAUUUGCUUUACUGCGACCAAACGAAGGAAAAUUCGAUUCUUUCAUUGAGAUUUGCUGAUCCAUUCUUGGAUCACUGGUUACAAUUGAGAGUACGACCGGAGCUUGCAGCAGUAAGCUGAGGAGAGCUUACGACAGGCUUGUAGCGCGCCAAAAGUUAGUAUUUUGCUAGCAUAAUAUGUAUAUCACGGGGCUGCUGGUGUGGUUUGCUUUACAAAUUUCCAUGUCCAUUUUCUUGUCGUUCAUUUGCGGAUACCGCCAUGUUUUUGAUGUGUAUAAUAAUGGCUGUUUAUUUGACAAAAAAAUGAUAUGCUUGGAUUAAGUCUGUAAAGUCUUUAAGGUCGGUUUAGGUUCGAUGUACACAGAUCCUCUUAUGGAACUUACAUUUCUUGGAAUGUUAAUGCAUUGGCACGCUUUAGUAUAUGUUAAUUAAUUUCCAUUUUGGUCUU
Molecule: long non-coding RNA, 493 nt
Organism: Papaver somniferum (opium poppy)
Lineage: Eukaryota; Viridiplantae; Streptophyta; Magnoliopsida; Ranunculales; Papaveraceae
Exons: 2
Source: RefSeq, a predicted model, not a curated record